AUCGCUUCUCGGCCUUUUGGCUAAGAUCAGUGUAGUAUCUGUUCUUAUCAGUUUAAUAUCUGAUACGUCCCCCAUCGGGGACUAUACAUAUUAAAUGGAUUUUUCGAACAGGGAGUCGGAAGCGGGGCUUGCUCCGUCCGCUCCACGCAUCGACUCGGUAUUGCAGUACCUCCGAGAACGGUGCACCCUCU
Molecule: small nuclear RNA, 191 nt
Filed under: Esox lucius (northern pike)
Lineage: Eukaryota; Metazoa; Chordata; Actinopteri; Esociformes; Esocidae
Description: U2 spliceosomal RNA
Rfam family: U2 spliceosomal RNA
About the family: U2 is a small nuclear RNA (snRNA) component of the spliceosome (involved in pre-mRNA splicing). Complementary binding between U2 snRNA (in an area lying towards the 5' end but 3' to hairpin I) and the branchpoint sequence (BPS) of the intron results the bulging out of an unpaired adenosine, on the BPS, which initiates a nucleophilic attack at the intronic 5' splice site, thus starting the first of two transesterification reactions that mediate splicing.
Source: Rfam by way of RNAcentral